UUGCACGCUGGCGGCAUGCCUUACCCAUGCCAGUCGCACGGCAGCACGGGUGCUUGCACCUGGUGGCGAGUGGCGAACGGGUGAGUAAUACAUCGGAACAUGUCCUGUAGUGGGGGAUAGCCCGGCGAAAGCCGGAUUAAUACCGCAUACGAUCUACGGAUGAAAGCGGGGGACCUUCGGGCCUCGCGCUAUAGGGUUGGCCGAUGGCUGAUUAGCUAGUUGGUGGGGUAAAGGCCUACCAAGGCGACGAUCAGCAGCUGGUCUGAGAGGACGACCAGCCACACUGGGACUGAGACACGGCCCAGACUCCUACGGGAGGCAGCAGUGGGGAAUUUUGGACAAUGGGCGAAAGCCUGAUCCAGCAAUGCCGCGUGUGUGAAGAAGGCCUUCGGGUUGUAAAGCACUUUUGUCCGGAAAGAAAUCCUUGGCCCUAAUACGGUCGGGGGAUGACGGUACCGGAAGAAUAAGCACCGGCUAACUACGUG
RNAcentral lists this ribosomal RNA (485 nucleotides) under uncultured bacterium. RNAcentral describes it as "partial 16S ribosomal RNA". It matches the Rfam family "Bacterial small subunit ribosomal RNA", at positions 30 to 507 of the family's 1533-position model. The record is from RNAcentral.